This 459-nucleotide ribosomal RNA is filed under the name Escherichia coli. Its description in RNAcentral is "bacterial SSU rRNA". It matches the Rfam family "Bacterial small subunit ribosomal RNA", at positions 1050 to 1509 of the family's 1533-position model. Lineage: Bacteria; Pseudomonadati; Pseudomonadota; Gammaproteobacteria; Enterobacterales; Enterobacteriaceae. The record is from RNAcentral.
UGUCGUCAGCUCGUGUUGUGAAAUGUUGGGUUAAGUCCCGCAACGAGCGCAACCCUUAUCCUUUGUUGCCAGCGGUCCGGCCGGGAACUCAAAGGAGACUGCCAGUGAUAAACUGGAGGAAGGUGGGGAUGACGUCAAGUCAUCAUGGCCCUUACGACCAGGGCUACACACGUGCUACAAUGGCGCAUACAAAGAGAAGCGACCUCGCGAGAGCAAGCGGACCUCAUAAAGUGCGUCGUAGUCCGGAUUGGAGUCUGCAACUCGACUCCAUGAAGUCGGAAUCGCUAGUAAUCGUGGAUCAGAAUGCCACGGUGAAUACGUUCCCGGGCCUUGUACACACCGCCCGUCACACCAUGGGAGUGGGUUGCAAAAGAAGUAGGUAGCUUAACCUUCGGGAGGGCGCUUACCACUUUGUGAUUCAUGACUGGGGUGAAGUCGUAACAAGGUAACCGUAGGGGA